AGCGUAGGCGGCGGAGCAAGUCAGAAGUGAAAGCCCGGGGCUCAACCCCGGGACGGCUUUUGAAACUGCCCUGCUUGAUUUCAGGAGAGGUAAGCGGAAUUCCUAGUGUAGCGGUGAAAUGCGUAGAUAUUAGGAGGAACACCAGUGGCGAAGGCGGCUUACUGGACUGACAAUGACGCUGAGGCUCGAAAGCGUGGGGAGCAAACA
RNAcentral lists this ribosomal RNA (207 nucleotides) under uncultured bacterium. Its description in RNAcentral is "partial 16S ribosomal RNA". It matches the Rfam family "Bacterial small subunit ribosomal RNA", at positions 568 to 774 of the family's 1533-position model. The record is from RNAcentral.